Molecule: long non-coding RNA, 5439 nt
Filed under: Sus scrofa (pig)
Lineage: Eukaryota; Metazoa; Chordata; Mammalia; Artiodactyla; Suidae
Description: lncRNA (ENSSSCG00000056863.1)
Source: RNAcentral
UAGCAUACUGAAAGGUAGAUGAUGUCAAUAGCAUGUUUUACAUCAAGGGAGUGGCAUGAUACAAUUUAUAAUUUGGAAAAAUAAUUCUGGCAGCUUAGUGCAAAGUGAACAGGCAUGAAGGAAGGUUGCUGUCAAGGCACUAGUCAAGGGGCUGUUGUAAUAGCCUGGGCAGGAUGUGAAGGUAGUUUGAACAAAGGCUGUGACUGUAGGGAUGGGGAUGAAUAUCAGAAGGUGACAUUUCUGAAGUAAAAUAAUAAGAUGUAGUGUGUUGUUUCCAUGAAUGUACUGAGGAGAGAGAGGAGCUGAGCAUGAUUAGCAGGAUAUUAAGAUAUCAGGUAGGUGGUUUACUCCAUUAUCAGUUGAUGGCCAAGGUCUUUGUCAUUCAGAUUCCCUAAUAAGAUUUAAAAAAAAAAUAAUUUGCAGGUAUGUGGCUGUUAUAAGAGGUUGUCUUCAUGUUUGUGACAAAAAGAUACAGAAAGAAAGGGAAAAAGAGAUCUCAGCCAUUUAUUUAUUCUUGUUUUCAAGUCCCAGUUUGGGAAAUUCAGCAUCUUUAGUCUGUAUCUAUGAGUGAGAGAGAAGUGUCAGUGUCUCAUCAUGGCCCUCAUUUUCUCUGGGUAUGAGGGAACUUUCAUAUGUACUUAACAAAUAUUUGUGGAAUAUUGCAUUUUAAGAGUUGGUAUGCCUGAGUCAGGCGCACGGUAGGCAACAGAAUGUGAUGGGAGCCAUUGAAAAUUGUUCCAUGGCCAGGAGUAUUUCAUAUAAAUUGGCUCUGGAACCAUGAAGCCAAGAUGGAAAAGAGGAAAGUGGUGAAGAUUAUCUUUCUCAUUUCUACAUUAGUGAUAGAAAAGAGAGAAAAGAAAAAAACCCUCAGAUUCUCCUAAUGUUGGAGAAAUCUACCUGAGUUUCCAUGGAUCCAAAAGUAGGUCCUAACCCUCACAAUACCUCAUAGAAGGAGGAAGGCAGUUUAGCUGACUUGAAGCCAGUGGGUUAUAAUUGCAUGUUAAAUAUUUAUUCUUCCCAAUAAAACAGAGGUUUUUAACUGGGUUGCCCAUAAUGUUUAUCUGUAGAACUUCAAAAAACUUCAUAUGCCCAAAACCUAUUCCAAGUGAUUCUGGUACAGAAGGUGUUUUGUUCAGAAUUUCUUUGAUUGAAAGUGAUAGAAAUGCAACUCAAAUCAGCCUCAGCCAACAAUGUAGAAUGAGUUGUGAAUUAUUAUCUAAUGCUCCAUAACAAAUUAACCAACUCAAAACUGAGCAUCUUAAAACACAGUUACCUUGUACAGUUUCUGUGGAUCACGAGUGGAAAGGUUGCUUAGCUGGUGGUUCUGCCUCAGGGUCUCUGAUGAAGUUGAAAUCAAGGUGUCAACUCAGCUUUAGUCAUCUAAAGCCUUGACAGAUUAGAGGACCCAGUUCCAAGGUAGCCCUCCUAUCUGUCACACAGGUUUAUUCACAGGGCUACUUGAGUCUGUUCACAGUAUGCUGGCUUGUUUUUCCCAGAUCAAGCAAUUCUAGGCUGAAGAAGCCCAAUAUCACUUUAUGGCUGGGAUUAAGGUGUCUUUGAGUAGGAGGAGGGGUGUGGUAUUCAGAGGUGGGAUGAUCUGUUGUUGCAAAGGCUGAGGACCAUCCUGAUACAGAAUUUUAGGUCCUAGAGCAAAUAUACCAUAUGUUUCAACAUAAUCAUUCAAUUUAUAGAGGGAAAAUGAUUAAAAUGAGUGUCAAGAGAAGGCUUGAAGGGAGAAGAACAAUAAGAAUAAUAAUUUUUAAAACCUCAAGGCUUAUGUGUGAUUCACCUCUGUGGUGAUGACUUAUAUCUGUCUUAAUAAGCUUUAACAUUUGCAGAUCCCUUUAGAGUUUCUCAGAUGAUUUCAUAACAUCUUAUUUGAUCUUAAGAACAAUCUUAAAGCUGUAGGAUGGAGUCAGGAGGGUUUGGAUUAAAAGAUAGAGCUAAUAAUAAUGAACACCCACCAGGUGCCAAGCAUUUGACUAGAUGUUUUAUAUUCAUAACCUUUUUAACCAGAUGCCAUAAAGUUUAUAUUAGUAAUUUCAAUUUCGAGGGAGGCUUAGCCUUCUUAGAGAAGUUAAAUGAUAUGCUCAUGGCCAAGCAUCUAAGCCAGAAGGAGAACCUAGGUUUUCCUACUCACAGCUUUCCAUUUGGCUUCUUCCCUUUUCAGCAUGACCAACCACUGCUGCCAUUUUCUCUACAUGCUAUGUCCUUGACUUAACCUUCAUCUUAUGGUAGUAUGAGACUCUCCAGAAGAGAAAAGGACCCAAUAAUUGCAGGCCCACACUUAUAAGUACCUUAAGAAUGUUGGAACAAAAAAAAAAAAAAAAAAAGAAGGCAGAGGACAAUAUACUGGGUUAGAAAAGAUAUUUUGUUCACAAUUUAUGCAUAAAUAAAUACAGUUCUCUAGGAAUAUCUAACUUUGUUUGAUUAUUUUAUUUAAAAAAAAUCUAUCUCAAAGCAGACAAUUUGAGUGGCCUCAGAUAACAUCUUGGCAUUUCAUUUUCCUUUGUCAUCAAGUGGGGGAAUAUUUCUUAAGGUUGACCUCACUUUCAUGGAUGUAGAAGGAUUGGUGGCAUGAGAGAUAAGAUGUAUUUUGUGUUCCUACAGGUAUUUGAGUGAAAUAAAUGAUUUCAGGAGGUAAACAUCAUCUCUAUUACUAAUGGCCUCAAACUUCUAAGUGCUUUUAUAACUUACAAAUAUGCUUAAAUGUGAAUUGAAUCAAGGUUUCCAAUGGCAAGAAGUAAAUACUACAUCUCCAUGUUGUUUGUGGUUUAUUAAAAGAAAUACAUAAUAAAAUACCUGAGAUUAUCCAUUGUAGAUAUCGGGUCUUCCACCAAAUAAAUCUGCUAUUUUUAGCAGCUAUAGGCUAGCUAGGCAGUAAGUCCUCAAUCUAGUGUCAGGGUAGUCAUAAGAGGGAGCUCCUUUUCUGAGCUCUGUACAACUUGUGCUUCAGUGAAGACCACAUCAAAAUAGAGGGCUGGAGUUUCUCUCAUCUUACAUAUCCUGCAUAUCCUGGAUUAUAGGACUCAGCCAGUCAUAUAGUCAGUGAAGUCUUAGCCCUUAACUGCUCCUCCUAUUCCAGUCCCACCAAUUGGAUAGUCAAGCAUUCAUGUUAUUGUGGUAGAGUAUAGUGGUUAAGAGCAUGAAAUUGGAAUUAAAAUCUGGUUUUGGCUUGCCACUACUUGUAUGGGUUUGGGCAAGUUAUUUUGCCUCUUUGUGCCUCAGUUUCUUCAUCUGAAAAAUACAGUAUCUUCUAGUAGGAUGUAAUGAGUAUUAAAAUAAUAUAUGCAGGGUGUUUAGAAUGAUGCUUGGUAUCUGGUAAGCACUCUGCAAGUGACAGCUAUUUUUAUUAUUGCAUGUAUUUUUCAGAAAGCUGUUACCUCCUGAAACCUUAAGACUCAGGCAACUGAUGGUUUAAUCAGGGAGUCCAAUAAGCAUUUAUAUGUUGCCCACUGUAAUUAGUAUCAUAGGACAAGACAGAGAAGACGUGAAGAUCAGCAUAGACCUAAAAAAAUAGCUUGGGAGUUCCUGCUGUGGCACAGUGGAAAUGAAUCUGACUAGAUUCCAUGAGGAUGCGGGUUCAGUCCCUGGCCUCUCUCUGUGGGUUAAGGACCUGGCAUUGCCAGGAGUUGUGGUGUAAGAUGAAGACACAGCUCAGAUCUAGCAUUGCUGUGGCUGUGGUGUAGGCCAGCAGCUGCAGCUCCAAUUCAACCUCUAGCCUGGAAACUUCCAUAUGCCACAGGUGCAGCCCUGAAAAGCAAGCAAGCAAGCAAACAAACAAACAAACAAAAAAACCCUUGAGGUGUGAUGUCAUCAAUCCCUGAGCCUUUCCAUCUAUUCUACCACAUUCCUCAUUUUUUAAAAUAGGAAGAGACAAAAAAUGAACACUAGGCCAACCAAGUUCCAAGAGUUCCUGCUGGGUCUACCUUUUACAAACAGGGAGAGGGAGAGGAGGCAGAGAGAGAGAGAUAGGGUGGGAGAGGAGGAAAGGGAGAGAGAGGGAAAGAAAGGAAUAGAACAGGAACUCUCUCUAUCCUGUUGAAUAUGGAGUCUUGAGUUGAGCAUCCUACAGAUUCCAGGUACUCCUCUGUCAGCCUCCUAGUAUGUUGAUUUCUGUGAUAUUAUGAUAAUGAAUCACAGAGUGGUCCAAAGUUAGAAGGCUACUCUGACUGGUUUUGGAUUUUGAGCUAUGAAGCCCUUACAUAGUAUAUAAAUUGGGUGGCCAAAAGCUGUAGAGUUGUAUUUGCAAGCUAAGUACAGUGACAACAGCAGGCCAGGUCACAGAGUUUCAGGACUAGCUUCAUAACACAGAGUAGCAUGGUGGCUAAGAGCUCACUGUUUGGAGUCAUGAUGACUUGGGUUCCAACAAAUGUUAGCAAUGUGACUCUGGGUAGUUACCUUAGCUUUCAAAGCCUCAGAUUUAUAUAGUUGUUAUAAGGAUUAAAUAAAGUAAUGAAUGUAAAGUACUGUCAAAACAUACUUUCCAAAAAGUUAAAAACCACGACUCCCACACAAAUAUAAAGUGAACAUGUGUCAAAGAAUCAUUUCACAUGUUAAUAAGAAUUGGCAAGAUGGUAAGGCUGGUUUUAAAGAAAACUGGGGAGAGCCAAGUAUUUAUGGUGGUGAUGGAGAAAGGCUUGAAUAAGAUGGCUGAUUUAGAUGCAAAUUAGAUUAAUGUAUAGGGCAAUUAAACUGUAACUUUUCAGGUUGUCCUCUUUAGAAAUAAUUUGCAUUCCCAGUGAACAGAUUUAAUUUUCAUCGCUAUCAUCAGUUGUUCUCAAGUGGGGGUGACUUCUCCAUCCAGAGGACAUUUGGUAAUGUCUGAAACUAUUUUUGGUUGUUAUAAUGGGGUGGGGGAGGGCAGUGCUACUAGCAGCUAGUGGGUAGAGAACAGGGAGGGUCCUAAACACCCUUCAAUGCACAGGACAGCCCCUCAUAGCAAAGAAUUACCCUGCCAUAAAUGCCAAUAGGGCUGAGGUUGAGAAACCUUGACUAUCAAUUUUCACACAUUAACACCCACUCUUAUGAAUUUUAAAAUAUCCUAAUCAGGAGAAAAUAGCAAGUCAAGCAAAGAUACACACUCCUAGAGAAUUGGCUAACCUUUGAUGGUUCGGUGGGUUGGCUAGAAAGUGCUUAGAUAAGUCUGAAAGGACAUACAGCAACCUUUUUGCCUAGUUCUGUUUUGGAAAAUUUUCUUAACAAUAUUUGACACCAUACCUCAAAUAUGGUAGUAGUGCUCAAUAAAGGACAGUUAUUACUGUAAAUUUACAUGCCAUUAGAUAGAAGUCCAAACACCCACACAGUAAAAUAAAUACCAUACUUUUACAGAAGCAUCGUUGCUGUUGGAAAUUAUUUUCCUGUUAGAUUGUUUCAUUUGUUCACUUGGAAGUUUUAAGAAAGUCCCCCAAUGUAACCUUCAGACUUACAGAAGAUCUG